GCCCGGUUAACUCAAUGGUAGAGUGUCAGGCUUUUAUUGCCUCCAAUGAGAACCUGAAGGUGUAAGUUGAUGCCUACGCAACUUCUGAACAGUAUCAGAUACUAACGUAUAACAGUGCGGGUUCGACCCCCGCAUCGGGCU
The sequence is a transfer RNA, 141 nucleotides long. It matches the Rfam family "tRNA". From Rfam's summary of the family: Transfer RNA (tRNA) molecules are approximately 80 nucleotides in length. Their secondary structure includes four short double-helical elements and three loops (D, anti-codon, and T loops). Further hydrogen bonds mediate the characteristic L-shaped molecular structure. tRNAs have two regions of fundamental functional importance: the anti-codon, which is responsible for specific mRNA codon recognition, and the 3' end, to which the tRNAs corresponding amino acid is attached (by aminoacyl-tRNA synthetases). tRNAs cope with the degeneracy of the genetic code in two manners: having more than one tRNA (with a specific anti-codon) for a particular amino acid; and 'wobble' base-pairing, i.e. permitting non-standard base-pairing at the 3rd anti-codon position. The record is from Rfam.